This 407-nucleotide ribosomal RNA is filed under the name Verrucomicrobiota bacterium. Its description in RNAcentral is "Verrucomicrobia bacterium partial 16S ribosomal RNA". It matches the Rfam family "Bacterial small subunit ribosomal RNA", at positions 355 to 776 of the family's 1533-position model. The record is from RNAcentral. Lineage: Bacteria; Pseudomonadati; Verrucomicrobiota.
UGGGGAAUAUUGGACAAUGGAGGAAACUCUGAUCCAGCAAUUCUGUGUGUGUGAAGAAGGUUUUAGGACUGUAAAACACUUUUAGUCGGGAAGAAAAAAAUGACGGUACCUACAGAAGAAGCAACGGCUAAAUACGUGCCAGCAGCCGCGGUAAUACGUAUGUUGCGAGCGUUAUCCGGAAUUAUUGGGCUUAAAGGGCAUCUAGGCGGUAAGACAAGUUGAAGGUGAAAACCUGUGGCUCAACCAUAGGCUUGCCUACAAAACUGUUGAACUAGAGUACUGGAAAGGUGGGUGGAACUACACGAGUAGAGGUGAAAUUCGUAGAUAUGUGUAGGAAUGCCGAUGAUGAAGAUAACUCACUGGACAGAAACUGACGCUGAAGUGCGAAAGCUAGGGGAGCAAACAGG